AGGGGUGAGGUGAUCUGGCUUUGACAGCUGUCACACAUUUGUUAGCAGGGGUGAUUUUAUCUAACAUUGGUACCUUCCGCCCUCACUGAUCUAUAUGUGGCCUGCCUCAAUCUAUAUACUAAGGCACAGAAGUUGAUUGUUUAAGCUCUAUAUAGACUCUUCUUUGGUCAAGGGUAUCUAAAUAGCUGAGUUAUUUGAGUAGAAACUCUGAAUGUGAAAUUACAGUUUGAAACAGCCCAAAUACCUAUUUUUAUAGCUGAGAAGAGACUCUAACAUGCAGGGUAUGCUGUCGC
Molecule: small nuclear RNA, 293 nt
Filed under: Pteropus alecto (black flying fox)
Lineage: Eukaryota; Metazoa; Chordata; Mammalia; Chiroptera; Pteropodidae
Description: 7SK RNA
Rfam family: 7SK RNA
About the family: 7SK was discovered as an abundant small nuclear RNA in the mid-70s but a possible function has only recently been suggested.
Source: Rfam by way of RNAcentral